This 3903-nucleotide long non-coding RNA is filed under the name Limulus polyphemus (Atlantic horseshoe crab). RNAcentral describes it as "uncharacterized LOC111085044, transcript variant X2". The record is from RNAcentral. Lineage: Eukaryota; Metazoa; Arthropoda; Merostomata; Xiphosura; Limulidae.
AUACGAGUGAAGUAGAAAGCGUAAGAGUUUUGUGGGUUAUUUUUGUGAUAGAAUUGGUGAUAAAAUCCUUGAGUGUUACCAUAACAACGUAUUGAACAAGAUUAAGGAAAAAGAUGGUUUGAGUUUUAAUGUUAUCAAGUAGGCCAGGCUGUGUUCAUACUUCAACAUUUAUUAUUAGAGAAAUUUAAGAUUUAGGGCUAGACUGGUCACGAUGUUACUGGUAUCAGCUCAGACCUCCACAGCUGUUGGCUUUGUGGCGCCAUCUCUGUACAUCAUGAACAAGAAGUAACAGAUAGCAAAGACAUUUUUGCCUGUAAAUACUCAUCAUCAGGUGGAUUCUGACAACAGAUGAUUGCAGAGCAUCUCCCUUUAGUUUAGAUGGAGUUUUCAUGGUUCAUCUUUCUAAUUCUUUCUAGGAUAUAUCACAGAGUGGAAUAUCAAGAGAGUUGAUAUCGGUAUCCUAUUUUGGAGUUCCCAACACCAUCGUUACUUUGCUUGGGACCUCUCAUCUACUAGCAUCCUUGCUCCCUCCACACUUGCCAAUUGGAUCCUCCAACUCAUCUGGAUCUUUAACCUUUCCUUGGGUGUGGUUAGUCGUCCACCAUUUUGUGUCUCCUACUACCAGAUUCAUCUUCUGACACAGUCUCUGGCAGCUUCCCAUUGACAGCUUGAGGAGAUUCUCCACACCAGCAUGUGGACUACCCACAAUCAUUUGCCUCACUAUUUACACCAUCUGGUUGUCUCGUCUCCAGUAGCAUACAGUUUUUCCAUCAAUGCCUAUUCUUUAAUUGACACUGUGCCUGUAACAGGUGAGAGUAUUCUUUUAAUUAUUCCUUCCUCACCUUCAUUCUAUUAUCAGAUCCCAUGAGGUUGCUAGUGUUGCAUCCCAGCCCAGGGUAUACUUAUGCAAAAUCUGUAUCGAACCAGGAUAAUAGAAAGUGCUAAUACCAUCCACUUUGACUCAGUCAGUGCCUACUGUGAGAUUGGUUUGUUCCAUAAGACCACUGGAGUAUUACUUGUGAUAAUACUAUAUAACAUUCAAUAGUCUGAUCCAGACUGUACCCAUUUCAUGAACUAUCGUGGAAAAAGCCAGUGCCAGAGCUGUGCAUCUACCCACUUCAUAUGAUUAUGUUCUGAGUGAAACUCAUAAACUGAAAAAUUAUUAUGCUUAUAACGUGAUUGCUGGGGUAAUUUUUAUUAAUCAUGUUGGUUAGAAAUAUUGCUAUUAGUAUUUAGAACUAUAUGAUGGUUUUGAUUGGUGUUACAAAUAAAAUAAAUAAUUGCAAACACUGCAUUCAAAAUGCUGUUCGCUAUCAUUUGGAACAUACUAUUUAUAAGCAACAGUGUCAAUAGCUAGAGGUGGGGAGGUCAAAUAAUCAUCGCAAUAUUCUAAAAAGUAAAAGCUCCACUUCCUAAGAUGUUCACAACUUAACAGCUUAUUACUGUGAGGUAAGCUAAGCUCCUUUUUGUUUUUGCUCUCUUAAGAUUUGAAUAAUUUUGUUUUACAAGUGUCAUUUAGGAUAAGGUAAAUCACUUGAAUUCUUUGUAUAGCAGGAAAAGUCCACAUUUCUAAAGAAAAAGACUCCCACUACAAAAAUAUAUAUACACACACACACAUCAUAGUGCUGGCUACAUCCCUGACCAGUUGCCACAAAAAUACUAUUAUAAGUUCAUGUGUUUCAAUAAGGAUUGAGCAACAGGUAGGUAAGACACUAACAAACCACCUAUAAUUAUGUGGUUGUUAGAAAGAAAUUGUAUUGCUGGCAAACUUGUGGUACUUGUGGCUUCUGUAUUGUUAGAAACUUGGUUAUAAAGUUACAUUUGUGAAUGUUGGAGAAUCAUAUACAUACCAGAAUAUCUGAACACAUCAAAGCUAAUCCCAAUGCUACUUACAAAAGAACAAAACCUAUUUUUUAAACAGUAUGUUAGUAAAAAUACUAAAAACUAAUUUCAUUUUUAGAAAAAGUGAAAUACACUGAAGCAAUAUUACUGUAUUAAAUUCUGAUAUUUGUAAUAAAGAUCAAAUUAGACUGCAUAAUUAUUACAUUUGUUUCACAGUCUUCUUAAGUUUGUCCAUUACGAAUUUAAAAUCAGAGGUACAGAAAAUGACAUUUAAACAUACUUUUUUGUCUUCCACAAAUUUCUGCCAAGGAGGCCUUUAGUCAAUAUCAGACUUAGUCAGUUUAUUAUUUCUAAAUAAUAAUAGUUUUUUAUUAUUUAUAGCUUGUGAAAUAAAAGAGAAACUAGUAAAACUUGAACUUUCAGUGUUAAAUGGUACUGUAUAAGAAGUAACAUUUUACUAAGAUAAUAUGCUAAUAAAAUACAGAAUGUUUCAAAACUUCACUUAUUGUACAAUGCUACUGAUGAAAUAUAUAUGCCUCUUUGCAAAUUCAUCAGGAAGUACUGUCCUACUAUAUUUGAAAUGCUUAACCUGUCCCUAUACUCAUCCCAUAAUGAGUCAACAUCCACUAAGGCCAUGAAAUGUGCUUCUAUCUGUGGAGUUUCUGCAUAUAAAACAGCUCGGAACAGCUAGAUACUGUGUGAAUAAGAUUCAUUAAGUAAUUCAAUGUGUCUGAAAUAUGAGAUACAAAGUCCCAUACAAAAUAAUUACAUGUUUCUAAAUGUGAAAGAUGUUUAUAGAAAAAGAAGUGAAAUGUUCUUAUAAAAAAUCGUCACUAAAUUUAUUUUACUCAGAAUCUGUUAUAAAAUCAUAUAGAAGUAAGGUAAAUCUCAAACUCUGCAGUAGUUUAGGUGCAAUCCCAAACAUUAAUAUGCCUUGAUAUCGGUAUUUCUAAAAACCUCUGUAAUAGUAUGUACAUAUAAUGUAAUGGGCAGAUCAUAGCUAGGGUCAUUGAUUAACAGAGUCUCCGUAUAUAAGAGAUUUUUCAUUCACAAACUGAGGCCUGAAAUUAACAAAAUAAGGUCAGCUAGUACGUUACUGUACUUAUAAUUUUAUGCGGUGUUGUAGUAAGUAAUGACUCGACCGCAAAAGAAGAGAUAAUACACAAGUUUAUUCAGGUGAGAAAAUACCUUAACCAUAAAUCAAUAAAAUCGGUACUCAAAGUUUUUCAGGUGAGAAAACACUUUAUUCACAAAUCAAUAAAAUAAAUACACAAGUUUUUUUCAGGUAAGAUAUCACAAAAUAGUAAAAUGGAUACGUAAUUUGUUUUCAUUUAAGAAAAUUUUUAUCCACAAAUCAAUAAACUGGACACACAAGUUUUCUUUCAGGUGAGAAAACACUAUCAACAAAUCAAUAAACUGGAUACGCAAGUUUUUUUGGUGUGAAACUAUUUUAUUCACAACUCAGUAAAAUGGAUGUCACAUGAACACCAUGGACAAAACGUUUAAUAAACAAUACCAAUAACUUUUUAAUUUGUCUAGGUAAGCACAAUAUGAAAACUAUGGCGAAUAUGAUAGUACUGAUCUUGCUUAGAGUUAAAUUACAAUCUCCGAAGUCUGCGUUAGUUCCCAAAAUGCCUUUCUUAUCCAUCUACUCUACCUGUCCAAUAGUACAAUCUUCCCACGUGGAUGUCAGACCAAGCGACCCACAUAGGCCAGCUUAGGAAAUCACCGAUUAUAACAUCCACCUUUAAAGAUGAACGUGCUCAUGACUCGGGGCAUGUGAAAGUUCGUAAUCCAUGAUUCACGCAGUACAAGGCUUGACAGACAGUUUUAGGUACGACCUUGACAAGUACUAAAAAUUUGAAAACUAUCUGAAUAAAGAUAUACAUUUAGAUUUAGUUUGAAUGAUGUAUAUACAUCUAGAUUGUCAGAUAUAAUUUUUUUGUUUAUUGUUUUGAAAAUUUUGCUAGGGAUAUUUGUUUCAAUUAACAAAUGUCUCAUCCCAUUUUAUUUUAUAGCUCUAAUUCCAACAUUAUCUUCCGGAAAAUAUAAAUACUACAA